Molecule: ribosomal RNA, 396 nt
Filed under: uncultured bacterium
Lineage: Bacteria
Description: partial 16S ribosomal RNA
Rfam family: Bacterial small subunit ribosomal RNA
Source: RNAcentral
AUACAGAGGGUGCAAGCGUUAAUCGGAUUUACUGGGCGUAAAGCGCGCGUAGGUGGCUAAUUAAGUCAAAUGUGAAAUCCCCGAGCUUAACUUGGGAAUUGCAUUCGAUACUGGUUAGCUAGAGUAUGGGAGAGGAUGGUAGAAUUCCAGGUGUAGCGGUGAAAUGCGUAGAGAUCUGGAGGAAUACCGAUGGCGAAGGCAGCCAUCUGGCCUAAUACUGACACUGAGGUGCGAAAGCAUGGGGAGCAAACAGGAUUAGAUACCCGGGUAGUCCAUGUCGUAAACGAUGUCUACUAGCCGUUGGGGCCCUUGAGGCUUUAGUGGCGCAGCUAACGCGAUAAGUAGACCGCCUGGGGAGUACGGUCGCAAGACUAAAACUCAAAUGAAUUGACGGGG